GAUGAACGCUGGCGGCGUGCCUUAAGCAUGCAGGUCGAACGGGAUUUUGGAGUCGCAAGAUUUUAAUUUUCAGUGGCGGACGGGUGAGUAUAAGCAGAGAACAUGCCCUUUUCUGUGGGAUAGCUCGUCGAAAGACGGGGUAAUACCGCAUGAGGUCGCAAGAUCAAAGAUCGCAAGAUCGGAGGAGGAGUGGCACUGCAUCUAUCAGCUAGUUGGUGGGGUAAAGGCCUACCAAGCCGACGAUCUGUAGCUGGUCUGAGAGGACGACCGGCCACACUGGGACUGAGACACGGCCCAGACUCCUACGGGAGGCAGCAGUGGGGAAUUUUGGACAAUGGGCGCAAGCCUGAUCCAGCCAUGCCGCGUGCGGGAAGAAGGCCUUCGGGUUGUAAACCGCUUUUGUCAGGGAAGAAAUCCUUUGAGCUAAUACCUCGGGGGGAUGACGGUACCUGAAGAAUAAGCACCGGCUAACUACGUGCCAGCCGCCGCAGUAA
RNAcentral lists this ribosomal RNA (494 nucleotides) under uncultured bacterium. RNAcentral describes it as "partial 16S ribosomal RNA". It matches the Rfam family "Bacterial small subunit ribosomal RNA", at positions 28 to 523 of the family's 1533-position model. The record is from RNAcentral.